UUUUUUUUUUUUUUUUAACUUGAUGGCCACACCUGUGGCGUAUGGAAGUUCCUGAGCCAGGGAUUGAAUCUGAGCUGCAGAUGUGACCUACGAUGCAGCUGAGACAAUGCCAGAUCCUCUAACCCACUUCAACAAGCCAGGGAUGGAACCUGGCCUCUGCAGCGACCCAAGUCACUGCAGUCAGAUUCUUUGUUUUUUUUGUUUUUGUUUUUUUUUUUAACUUUUUAGGUCUACACUUGUGAGGUAUAUGGAAGAUCUCAGGCUAGGGGUCAAAUUGGAGCUACAGGUGCCGGCCUACGCCACAGUCACAGCCACAUGGGUUCCAAGUCGCUUCUGUGACCUGGACUACUGCUCACGGCAAUGCUGGAUCCCUGACCCACUGAGAGAGCGAGUUCAGGGAUCAAAUCUGCAUCCUCAUGGAUACUAGUUGGAUUCAUUUCCACUGAGCCACAACGGGAACUCCCUGCAGUCAGGUUCUUAACCCACUGUGCCACAGCAAGACAUCCAUAUCCAUUGAGUUUACAGUUUUGGCUCUUAUAUCUUUUUAUUUCAGUAUCUCCCGCCUUGGUCUUUUUCUUUUGUCUUAUUCUGAUUCUUGCUCAUACUAACAGUAUCUUUCUCAAGAGAGGAUUUGCCUGUGCCAGGUUUGUAGGGGCGAGCUUAUGGCCAAGACUACCUUAAUCCAACUUUAAGAAUUAAGAUUACCUGGACUACCAGAAAGGAGGGAGCUAGCCUUCAAGUCCAUGCAAGGCUAAGUUUGCUUUUUGUUCACCUCUACUCAGGCACGUAGUCUUUCAGAACAAACCAGAGAAAGUGGGAAUUGGUUUAUCAUGUAGAUUGCAAGUCUUCUUUUGGCUCACCCAUUCCUAUGAAGCCCUUUGAGUCCUGUGACCUGGCCGCUUCCUAAGGGUAGAGAAUUUCCUAUAGGCAAAAGUAGCUGUGUAUGGCUGAGCUGACUGCUGUGGCUUCCCUUGUUCGCUCAGAUUUUUAAAUGGCAAGAUUUAAAGAGAGAGAGAGAGAGAGAGAGAGAGAGAGAGAGAGAGAGAGGGAGAGAGAGGGUGUGUGUGUGUGUGUGUGUGUCCCAAGUUUCGUUUUUCAGGUUAUUUCACUAUUAUUGAAAGAAUUCUCACCAGUUCUUUCCUGAUCUUGGCGUUCUGUUUUGUUUUGACCUUGCCUGUGGCAUGCAGAAGUUCCCAGGCCAGGGAUUUAACUUGUGCCACUGCAGUACUUGAGCCAAAGCUGUGACAAAGUGGAGCCACCAUGGAACUCCCUUGAACUUGGUUUUGGUAGUGAAAUCCUACCCUUGUAGUGUGGGAGACACUGUAUAUUUUUUUAGGGGAGAAAUAGUGAAGAGGUACUUGUUUAAUAAUAGGUCACCCCUUCAGGAAGUCCCCUCUGUGCAUAUGUGCCAGGCACAGCCCUUUAUGCUCACCAUUAUCUCUUCAGAACCCUUCGAAAAAGCCAUUACCUCCAUAUCACACUUUAAAUAAAAUGGGCCCAGAGAGAUUGAAUAAUUGGUCAGAUGUCAUCAGAGUUAGUAAUGGGCUGAUCCGGGAUUUAGCCCCAAGUCUUUUUUUUUUUUAGGGUUUUAUUUUUUCUAUGAUAGUUGAUUUACAUUGUUCUGUCAAUUUCUGCUGUACAACAAAGUGACCCAGUCAUACAUACACAUAUAUAUAUACAUGUGUGUACACAUAUAUGUAUACAUGUACACAUAUGUGUAUAUAUGCAUGUAUGUACAUAAAACCCCAGACUCCUAGUCCAUUCCAAUUCCUCCCCCUUGGCAACAACAAGUCUGUUCUACAAGUCCAUGAAUUUGUUUCUUUUCUGUAGAAAGGUUUAUUUGUACUGUAUAUUAGAUUCCAGGUAUAAGUGAAAUCAUGUGUUUGUCUUUCUGACUUACUUCACUUAGUAUGAGAGUCUCUAGUUCCACCCAUGUUGCUGCAGAUGGCAUUGUUUUGUUCUUGUUCUUUUUUAUGACUGAGUAGUAUUCCAUUGUGUACAUAUAUCACAUCUUCUUGAUCCAUUCCUCUGUUGAUGGACAUUUAGGUUGUUUUCAUGUCUUGGCUAUUAUGAAUAGUGCUGCAGUGAACAUAGGGGUGUAUGUAUCUUUUUGAAUGAAAGUUUUAUCUGGAUAUAUGCCCAGGAGUGGGAUUGCUGGGUCAUACAGUAGUUCUAUGUUUAGUUUUCUGAGAUAGCUCCAUACUGUUUUCCAUAGUGGUUGUACCAAUUUACAUUCCCUUUUCUCCACACCCUCUUCAGCCCUUGUUAUUUGUUGACUUGUUAAUGAUGGCCAUUCUGGUGUGAGGUGGUACCUCAUUGUAGUUUUGAUUUGCAUUUCUGUAAUAAUUAGUGAUGGUGAACAUUUUUUCGUGUGCCUAUUGGCCCUCUGUGUUUCUUCUUUGGAGAAAUGUCUAUUCAGGUCUUCUGCCCAUUAUUCAAUUGGGUUAUUUUUGUUGUUGUUGAGUUGUAUUAAGUUGUUUGUAUAUUUUAGAGAUUAAGCCCUUUUCAGUUGCAUCGUUUGAAACUAUUUUCUCCCGUUCCAAAGGUUGUCUUUUUUUUUUUUAUGGUUUCCUUUGCUAUGCAAAAGCUUUUAAGUUUGCUUAGGUCCCAUUGGUUUAUUUUUUUUCUGUUGUCUUUUGAGACUGACCUAAGAAAACAUUUGUAGGUUGAUGUCAGAGAAUGUUUUGCCUAUGUUCUCUUCUAGGAGUUUUAUGAUGUCUUGUCUUAUGUUUAAGUCUUUAAGCCAUUUUGAAUUUAUUUUUGUGCGUGGUGUGAGGGUGUGUUCCAGGUUCAUUGAUUUACAUGCAGCUGUCCAGUUUUCCCAGCACCACUUGCUGAAAAGACUUUUUUCCAUUUUAUAUUCUUCCUUUGUCAAAGAUUAAUGGACCUUAAGUGUCUACGUUAGUUCCAGUUAGCUCCAAGUCUUUUGAACGUUCAAGCCUGUGCUGUGUAUAUGCUGUGUUGGCUUUGAUUCAAAGAGGAAAAAGUUAAAGUCUAUCAGAGGUUGAAAGUGCCUUAUCUUAAAGGGACUUUUUAAUUUUAACGGUUAUUUGCAGCUGGAGUGUUUGUACUUCCAGGUUGCUUGGGCAUGCCAAAAACAAGUUGUAAGUUCAUUAUAAAAUAUUAAUGUGCAAGGAUUCUUGCUCAUAGAAUAAAGUUUUUUUCCUUUAAAAAUUUCAGUGGCCACUCAAUGGAGCUGUCUAAAAAAAAUCCAUGUGUUAAAAACAUCUCGUUCUUUUUUAUGAUCUCAACUCAUCUGUUUUGUAUCUGAGCUAGAUAUUCUUCAUGCUUCAUUUCCUAUUUUUUUCAUAUUGGUUGCUAUACAAUAAAGGAUUUGAUUAAAGUGCAGGAAAUAGUCAUUGCAUAUGUAUUGGUUUUUAAUCAAUUGAUGAAUAGACGUUGGUUAAAAUGUUUCUAAUUUUAUGAUCUCAUCCUAUGUCUAUGUACUGAUUUAAGCUGGUGCUUAAAAUUGUCAGUCUUCCAUCCAGCAUUCAUUAGGAACUGUGAAGUUUGUCUUCUAAGCUUUGAUUUUAUUUGCAGGGAAUUUCACCAAAGAAAAGUGAUCAUAUGUAUAAUAUAAGUAGUUUAUUUCCAUUUAGUUAUAUCUUUUGGUGGUAAGUUACUAUAGUGAUUGAGGCUUAUAUUUAAUCUUGUCAGAUUAUACAAACUGAAAUUUGUUUUAUGUAAACUAGAAACAAAAGAUUU
This 3705-nucleotide long non-coding RNA is filed under the name Sus scrofa (pig). RNAcentral describes it as "lncRNA (ENSSSCG00025011309.1)". Lineage: Eukaryota; Metazoa; Chordata; Mammalia; Artiodactyla; Suidae. The record is from RNAcentral.